CUUGGGAAAAAUUCACAAGAUCGGUAUUGUUUUAACACCGUAAGUCUCCUGCAUAUGGAAAUUGAGUUGAAUUUUUAUUAUGACAUAGCCUUAAAUUCUCAUUCUCUGACAGCUCUUGAGUAGUUUAUUUCAGCAGUCAGCACCAUCUCACACACACUCUACGCAGGGAAGCCGAUGAAUAUAAGUGAGUGUUCUGAAAAAGAAAAAAAAGAGAAAAAAAUAAAGGAAUGCACCUUCUAAGUUUGGUGACCCUCACCCGGUCACUUAACCCAACGGAUGUAGAACCUUCAAAAAAAAAUUGAAAAUAAGACUAGUUGUCAGUUGGUUCAGCGG
RNAcentral lists this long non-coding RNA (333 nucleotides) under Lathyrus oleraceus (garden pea). Its description in RNAcentral is "Pisum sativum (pea) long non-coding RNA (PSAT_LNC030731)". Lineage: Eukaryota; Viridiplantae; Streptophyta; Magnoliopsida; Fabales; Fabaceae. The record is from RNAcentral.